ACGGGAGGCAGCAGUGAGGAAUAUUGGUCAAUGGCCGAGAGGCUGAACCAGCCAAGUCGCGUGAAGGAAGAAGGAUCUAUGGUUUGUAAACUUCUUUUAUAGGGGAAUAAAGUGGAGGACGUGUCCUUUUUUGUAUGUACCCUAUGAAUAAGCAUCGGCUAACUCCGUGCCAGCAGCCGCGGUAAUACGGAGGAUGCGAGCGUUAUCCGGAUUUAUUGGGUUUAAAGGGUGCGUAGGUGGUGAUUUAAGUCAGCGGUGAAAGUUUGUGGCUCAACCAUAAAAUUGCCGUUGAAACUGGGUUACUUGAGUGUGUUUGAGGUAGGCGGAAUGCGUGGUGUAGCGGUGGAAUGCAUAGAUAUCACGCAGAACUCCGAUUGCGAAGGCAGCUUACUAAACCAUAACUGACACUGAAGCACGAAAGCGUGGGGAUC
RNAcentral lists this ribosomal RNA (431 nucleotides) under uncultured bacterium. RNAcentral's name for it is "bacterial SSU rRNA". It matches the Rfam family "Bacterial small subunit ribosomal RNA", at positions 341 to 769 of the family's 1533-position model. The record is from RNAcentral.